This 253-nucleotide ribosomal RNA is filed under the name uncultured bacterium. Its description in RNAcentral is "partial 16S ribosomal RNA". It matches the Rfam family "Bacterial small subunit ribosomal RNA", at positions 524 to 776 of the family's 1533-position model. The record is from RNAcentral.
GACGUAGGGCGCGAGCGUUGUCCGGAUUUAUUGGGCGUAAAGAGCUCGUAGGCGGCUUGUCGCGUCGAAUGUGAAAUCUCAGGGCUCAACUCUGACAUUGCAUUCGAUACGGGCAGGCUAGAGUUCGGUAGGGGAGACUGGAAUUCCUGGUGUAGCGGUGAAAUGCGCAGAUAUCAGGAGGAACACCGAUGGUGAAGGCAGGUCUCUGGGCCGAUACUGACGCUGAGGAGCGAAAGCGUGGGGAGCGAACAGG